CCUUUAACCCAGGAGGCUCCACUCCUUCUCUGCUCUCCUUAGAGAUUCACCCGGCUGUCAGUAAUUCAGCCCUCGGGUUUAUUCAGCUGAGAUCUUCAGAUUUCAAAAGAUAAUCUGGGAAUAAUUGGGACUUAAGGAACUGGUGGGAAUCUCGGUUCUCUUUGCUGCUCUGCCAUUCACCACUCAGAUGGACAUCUUAUUCCAUCCUCAAUGGGAUGGGUGGAUGGAAUCCAAAUGGCUGAGAUGGUGUUAUGGUGCCCUCAUAACCUUGCCAGUCAGAGAGAACGGGAUCAAGAGUUCAGAAACUAGUUUUGUGAACUAACUGCAGGGUAGACCAAUACAGGCCUACCCUGCCUGUAUUCUCUCCUCACCCCUUUCUCUCUUUUUUGCAGCAUGCCCUCCCUUCUCAAGCUUCACUGAUGAAAAACUGAUGAAAAAGGGGGUGAGGGGCCAUCAAAAUAUAUCUUGGGGCCAGAGUCCUACCUUCAAUCCUCAGCUGGUGGAGGAGAUGGGAAACCCAGAAUCAACUGCUGACCACUAAAAAGAGAGAGUGAAAAGGAUGAUGUCUUGGCAAUGUGAAAGAAA
Long non-coding RNA from Pogona vitticeps (central bearded dragon), 585 nucleotides. RefSeq lists it as uncharacterized. Lineage: Eukaryota; Metazoa; Chordata; Lepidosauria; Squamata; Agamidae. The record is from RefSeq and is a predicted model, not a curated record.